AACGAACGCUGGCGGCGUGCCUAACACAUGCAAGUCGAACGAGAAAACCCUUCGGGGUGAGUAAAGUGGCGCACGGGUGAGUAACACGUGGGUAACCUUCCCUAAAGACUGGGACAACCUUCCGAAAGGAGGGCUAAUACUAGAUAAGACCACAGGGUCUGCGGACCUAGGGGUAAAAAGAUGCAGCAAUGUAUCGCUAUAGGAUGGGCCCGCGUCGCGUUAGCUAGUUGGUGGGGUAAAAGCCUACCAAGGCUACGAUGCGUAGCUGGUCUGAGAGGACGGCCAGCCACACUGGAACUGAGACACGGUCCAGACUCCUACGGGAGGCAGCAGUGGGGAAUAUUGGACAAUGGGGGAAACCCUGAUCCAGCGACGCCGCGUGGGUGAUGAAGGCCUUCGGGUCGUAAAGCCCUGUUGGGGGGGACGAAACAGCGAAUUAACAAACCGCCUUGACUUAACCCCCUGAGGAAGCACCGGCUAACUCUGUGCCAGCAGCCGCCGUAA
This 504-nucleotide ribosomal RNA is filed under the name uncultured bacterium. RNAcentral describes it as "partial 16S ribosomal RNA". It matches the Rfam family "Bacterial small subunit ribosomal RNA", at positions 29 to 523 of the family's 1533-position model. The record is from RNAcentral.